RNAcentral lists this ribosomal RNA (558 nucleotides) under Tremella subalpina. RNAcentral describes it as "eukaryotic LSU rRNA". The stretch from base 180 to 333 matches the Rfam family "5.8S ribosomal RNA". The record is from RNAcentral. Lineage: Eukaryota; Fungi; Basidiomycota; Tremellomycetes; Tremellales; Tremellaceae.
UCUUGGUCANUUAGAGGAAGUAAAAGUCGUAACAAGGUUUCCGUAGGUGAACCUGCGGAAGGAUCAUUAAUGAUUGGCCGAAAGGCCUUAUCUCAUCCUUCAUACCUCUGUGAACCGUUGGCCCUCGGGCCUCUUUACAAAACACUGUGUAAUGAACGUAUGUCAUAUAAACAAAACAAAACUUUUAACAACGGAUCUCUUGGCUCUCGCAUCGAUGAAGAACGCAGCGAAAUGCGAUAAGUAAUGUGAAUUGCAGAAUUCAGUGAAUCAUCGAAUCUUUGAACGCACCUUGCGCCUUUUGGUAUUCCGAAAGGCAUGCCUGUUUGAGUGUCAUGAAAUCUCAAUCCCCUUGGGUUUAUUCUCGAGGGUGAUUUGGACUUGGGCGUUGCCAUCUGGCUCGCCUCAAAAGACUCAGUGGGAACAGCAUCCACGGCCUGACGUAAUAAGUUUCGUUUGACCCGGUGUGACGUCCGCUCCUAACCUGCCAUUGCGCACUUCUGACUCUGACCUCAAAUCAGGUAGGGCUACCCGCUGAACUUAAGCAUAUCAAUAAGCGGA